GUGCUCGCUUGAGCAGCACGUGUACUAAAAUUGGAACUCGAGAGAUUAGCACGGCCCCUGCACAAGAUGACAUGCAAAUUUGUGAAGCGUUUCGUAUUUUC
Molecule: small nuclear RNA, 101 nt
Filed under: Pteropus vampyrus (large flying fox)
Lineage: Eukaryota; Metazoa; Chordata; Mammalia; Chiroptera; Pteropodidae
Source: RNAcentral